GAUGAACGCUAGCGAUAGGCUUAACACAUGCAAGUCGAGGGGCAGCGAGGGUAGCAAUACCUGUCGGCGAACGGCGCACGGGUGAGUAACGCGUAUGUAACCUGCCCGCAACAGGGGGAUAACCCGGCGAAAGUCGGACUAAUACCGCAUAAAACAGGGGUCCCGCAUGGGAAUAUUUGUUAAAGAUUUAUCGGUUGCGGAUGGGCAUGCGUACCAUUAGGUAGUUGGUGAGGUAACGGCUCACCAAGCCUUCGAUGGUUAGGGGUUCUGAGAGGAAGGUCCCCCACACUGGUACUGAGACACGGACCAGACUCCUACGGGAGGCAGCAGUGAGGAAUAUUGGUCAAUGGGCGAGAGCCUGAACCAGCCAAGUCGAGUGAAGGAUGACUGCCCUAGGGGUUGUAAACUUCUUUUACAAGGGAAUAAAAUGAGAUACGUGUAUUUUAUUGAAUGUACCUUGGGAAUAAGCAUCGGCUAACUCCGUG
This 485-nucleotide ribosomal RNA is filed under the name uncultured bacterium. RNAcentral's name for it is "partial 16S ribosomal RNA". It matches the Rfam family "Bacterial small subunit ribosomal RNA", at positions 28 to 507 of the family's 1533-position model. The record is from RNAcentral.